This is a long non-coding RNA of Homo sapiens (human), 6168 nucleotides long. Ensembl annotates it as metastasis associated lung adenocarcinoma transcript 1. Its record names the gene MALAT1. NCBI's taxonomy places the organism in Eukaryota, Metazoa, Chordata, Mammalia, Primates, Hominidae. The record is from Ensembl.
GGUAGGCAUUGAGGCAGCCAGCGCAGGGGCUUCUGCUGAGGGGGCAGGCGGAGCUUGAGGAAACCGCAGAUAAGUUUUUUUCUCUUUGAAAGAUAGAGAUUAAUACAACUACUUAAAAAAUAUAGUCAAUAGGUUACUAAGAUAUUGCUUAGCGUUAAGUUUUUAACGUAAUUUUAAUAGCUUAAGAUUUUAAGAGAAAAUAUGAAGACUUAGAAGAGUAGCAUGAGGAAGGAAAAGAUAAAAGGUUUCUAAAACAUGACGGAGGUUGAGAUGAAGCUUCUUCAUGGAGUAAAAAAUGUAUUUAAAAGAAAAUUGAGAGAAAGGACUACAGAGCCCCGAAUUAAUACCAAUAGAAGGGCAAUGCUUUUAGAUUAAAAUGAAGGUGACUUAAACAGCUUAAAGUUUAGUUUAAAAGUUGUAGGUGAUUAAAAUAAUUUGAAGGCGAUCUUUUAAAAAGAGAUUAAACCGAAGGUGAUUAAAAGACCUUGAAAUCCAUGACGCAGGGAGAAUUGCGUCAUUUAAAGCCUAGUUAACGCAUUUACUAAACGCAGACGAAAAUGGAAAGAUUAAUUGGGAGUGGUAGGAUGAAACAAUUUGGAGAAGAUAGAAGUUUGAAGUGGAAAACUGGAAGACAGAAGUACGGGAAGGCGAAGAAAAGAAUAGAGAAGAUAGGGAAAUUAGAAGAUAAAAACAUACUUUUAGAAGAAAAAAGAUAAAUUUAAACCUGAAAAGUAGGAAGCAGAAGAAAAAAGACAAGCUAGGAAACAAAAAGCUAAGGGCAAAAUGUACAAACUUAGAAGAAAAUUGGAAGAUAGAAACAAGAUAGAAAAUGAAAAUAUUGUCAAGAGUUUCAGAUAGAAAAUGAAAAACAAGCUAAGACAAGUAUUGGAGAAGUAUAGAAGAUAGAAAAAUAUAAAGCCAAAAAUUGGAUAAAAUAGCACUGAAAAAAUGAGGAAAUUAUUGGUAACCAAUUUAUUUUAAAAGCCCAUCAAUUUAAUUUCUGGUGGUGCAGAAGUUAGAAGGUAAAGCUUGAGAAGAUGAGGGUGUUUACGUAGACCAGAACCAAUUUAGAAGAAUACUUGAAGCUAGAAGGGGAAGUUGGUUAAAAAUCACAUCAAAAAGCUACUAAAAGGACUGGUGUAAUUUAAAAAAAACUAAGGCAGAAGGCUUUUGGAAGAGUUAGAAGAAUUUGGAAGGCCUUAAAUAUAGUAGCUUAGUUUGAAAAAUGUGAAGGACUUUCGUAACGGAAGUAAUUCAAGAUCAAGAGUAAUUACCAACUUAAUGUUUUUGCAUUGGACUUUGAGUUAAGAUUAUUUUUUAAAUCCUGAGGACUAGCAUUAAUUGACAGCUGACCCAGGUGCUACACAGAAGUGGAUUCAGUGAAUCUAGGAAGACAGCAGCAGACAGGAUUCCAGGAACCAGUGUUUGAUGAAGCUAGGACUGAGGAGCAAGCGAGCAAGCAGCAGUUCGUGGUGAAGAUAGGAAAAGAGUCCAGGAGCCAGUGCGAUUUGGUGAAGGAAGCUAGGAAGAAGGAAGGAGCGCUAACGAUUUGGUGGUGAAGCUAGGAAAAAGGAUUCCAGGAAGGAGCGAGUGCAAUUUGGUGAUGAAGGUAGCAGGCGGCUUGGCUUGGCAACCACACGGAGGAGGCGAGCAGGCGUUGUGCGUAGAGGAUCCUAGACCAGCAUGCCAGUGUGCCAAGGCCACAGGGAAAGCGAGUGGUUGGUAAAAAUCCGUGAGGUCGGCAAUAUGUUGUUUUUCUGGAACUUACUUAUGGUAACCUUUUAUUUAUUUUCUAAUAUAAUGGGGGAGUUUCGUACUGAGGUGUAAAGGGAUUUAUAUGGGGACGUAGGCCGAUUUCCGGGUGUUGUAGGUUUCUCUUUUUCAGGCUUAUACUCAUGAAUCUUGUCUGAAGCUUUUGAGGGCAGACUGCCAAGUCCUGGAGAAAUAGUAGAUGGCAAGUUUGUGGGUUUUUUUUUUUUACACGAAUUUGAGGAAAACCAAAUGAAUUUGAUAGCCAAAUUGAGACAAUUUCAGCAAAUCUGUAAGCAGUUUGUAUGUUUAGUUGGGGUAAUGAAGUAUUUCAGUUUUGUGAAUAGAUGACCUGUUUUUACUUCCUCACCCUGAAUUCGUUUUGUAAAUGUAGAGUUUGGAUGUGUAACUGAGGCGGGGGGGAGUUUUCAGUAUUUUUUUUUGUGGGGGUGGGGGCAAAAUAUGUUUUCAGUUCUUUUUCCCUUAGGUCUGUCUAGAAUCCUAAAGGCAAAUGACUCAAGGUGUAACAGAAAACAAGAAAAUCCAAUAUCAGGAUAAUCAGACCACCACAGGUUUACAGUUUAUAGAAACUAGAGCAGUUCUCACGUUGAGGUCUGUGGAAGAGAUGUCCAUUGGAGAAAUGGCUGGUAGUUACUCUUUUUUCCCCCCACCCCCUUAAUCAGACUUUAAAAGUGCUUAACCCCUUAAACUUGUUAUUUUUUACUUGAAGCAUUUUGGGAUGGUCUUAACAGGGAAGAGAGAGGGUGGGGGAGAAAAUGUUUUUUUCUAAGAUUUUCCACAGAUGCUAUAGUACUAUUGACAAACUGGGUUAGAGAAGGAGUGUACCGCUGUGCUGUUGGCACGAACACCUUCAGGGACUGGAGCUGCUUUUAUCCUUGGAAGAGUAUUCCCAGUUGAAGCUGAAAAGUACAGCACAGUGCAGCUUUGGUUCAUAUUCAGUCAUCUCAGGAGAACUUCAGAAGAGCUUGAGUAGGCCAAAUGUUGAAGUUAAGUUUUCCAAUAAUGUGACUUCUUAAAAGUUUUAUUAAAGGGGAGGGGCAAAUAUUGGCAAUUAGUUGGCAGUGGCCUGUUACGGUUGGGAUUGGUGGGGUGGGUUUAGGUAAUUGUUUAGUUUAUGAUUGCAGAUAAACUCAUGCCAGAGAACUUAAAGUCUUAGAAUGGAAAAAGUAAAGAAAUAUCAACUUCCAAGUUGGCAAGUAACUCCCAAUGAUUUAGUUUUUUUCCCCCCAGUUUGAAUUGGGAAGCUGGGGGAAGUUAAAUAUGAGCCACUGGGUGUACCAGUGCAUUAAUUUGGGCAAGGAAAGUGUCAUAAUUUGAUACUGUAUCUGUUUUCCUUCAAAGUAUAGAGCUUUUGGGGAAGGAAAGUAUUGAACUGGGGGUUGGUCUGGCCUACUGGGCUGACAUUAACUACAAUUAUGGGAAAUGCAAAAGUUGUUUGGAUAUGGUAGUGUGUGGUUCUCUUUUGGAAUUUUUUUCAGGUGAUUUAAUAAUAAUUUAAAACUACUAUAGAAACUGCAGAGCAAAGGAAGUGGCUUAAUGAUCCUGAAGGGAUUUCUUCUGAUGGUAGCUUUUGUAUUAUCAAACUUUUUUCAGAUAACAUCUUCUGAGUCAUAACCAGCCUGGCAGUAUGAUGGCCUAGAUGCAGAGAAAACAGCUCCUUGGUGAAUUGAUAAGUAAAGGCAGAAAAGAUUAUAUGUCAUACCUCCAUUGGGGAAUAAGCAUAACCCUGAGAUUCUUACUACUGAUGAGAACAUUAUCUGCAUAUGCCAAAAAAUUUUAAGCAAAUGAAAGCUACCAAUUUAAAGUUACGGAAUCUACCAUUUUAAAGUUAAUUGCUUGUCAAGCUAUAACCACAAAAAUAAUGAAUUGAUGAGAAAUACAAUGAAGAGGCAAUGUCCAUCUCAAAAUACUGCUUUUACAAAAGCAGAAUAAAAGCGAAAAGAAAUGAAAAUGUUACACUACAUUAAUCCUGGAAUAAAAGAAGCCGAAAUAAAUGAGAGAUGAGUUGGGAUCAAGUGGAUUGAGGAGGCUGUGCUGUGUGCCAAUGUUUCGUUUGCCUCAGACAGGUAUCUCUUCGUUAUCAGAAGAGUUGCUUCAUUUCAUCUGGGAGCAGAAAACAGCAGGCAGCUGUUAACAGAUAAGUUUAACUUGCAUCUGCAGUAUUGCAUGUUAGGGAUAAGUGCUUAUUUUUAAGAGCUGUGGAGUUCUUAAAUAUCAACCAUGGCACUUUCUCCUGACCCCUUCCCUAGGGGAUUUCAGGAUUGAGAAAUUUUUCCAUCGAGCCUUUUUAAAAUUGUAGGACUUGUUCCUGUGGGCUUCAGUGAUGGGAUAGUACACUUCACUCAGAGGCAUUUGCAUCUUUAAAUAAUUUCUUAAAAGCCUCUAAAGUGAUCAGUGCCUUGAUGCCAACUAAGGAAAUUUGUUUAGCAUUGAAUCUCUGAAGGCUCUAUGAAAGGAAUAGCAUGAUGUGCUGUUAGAAUCAGAUGUUACUGCUAAAAUUUACAUGUUGUGAUGUAAAUUGUGUAGAAAACCAUUAAAUCAUUCAAAAUAAUAAACUAUUUUUAUUAGAGAAUGUAUACUUUUAGAAAGCUGUCUCCUUAUUUAAAUAAAAUAGUGUUUGUCUGUAGUUCAGUGUUGGGGCAAUCUUGGGGGGGAUUCUUCUCUAAUCUUUCAGAAACUUUGUCUGCGAACACUCUUUAAUGGACCAGAUCAGGAUUUGAGCGGAAGAACGAAUGUAACUUUAAGGCAGGAAAGACAAAUUUUAUUCUUCAUAAAGUGAUGAGCAUAUAAUAAUUCCAGGCACAUGGCAAUAGAGGCCCUCUAAAUAAGGAAUAAAUAACCUCUUAGACAGGUGGGAGAUUAUGAUCAGAGUAAAAGGUAAUUACACAUUUUAUUUCCAGAAAGUCAGGGGUCUAUAAAUUGACAGUGAUUAGAGUAAUACUUUUUCACAUUUCCAAAGUUUGCAUGUUAACUUUAAAUGCUUACAAUCUUAGAGUGGUAGGCAAUGUUUUACACUAUUGACCUUAUAUAGGGAAGGGAGGGGGUGCCUGUGGGGUUUUAAAGAAUUUUCCUUUGCAGAGGCAUUUCAUCCUUCAUGAAGCCAUUCAGGAUUUUGAAUUGCAUAUGAGUGCUUGGCUCUUCCUUCUGUUCUAGUGAGUGUAUGAGACCUUGCAGUGAGUUUAUCAGCAUACUCAAAAUUUUUUUCCUGGAAUUUGGAGGGAUGGGAGGAGGGGGUGGGGCUUACUUGUUGUAGCUUUUUUUUUUUUUACAGACUUCACAGAGAAUGCAGUUGUCUUGACUUCAGGUCUGUCUGUUCUGUUGGCAAGUAAAUGCAGUACUGUUCUGAUCCCGCUGCUAUUAGAAUGCAUUGUGAAACGACUGGAGUAUGAUUAAAAGUUGUGUUCCCCAAUGCUUGGAGUAGUGAUUGUUGAAGGAAAAAAUCCAGCUGAGUGAUAAAGGCUGAGUGUUGAGGAAAUUUCUGCAGUUUUAAGCAGUCGUAUUUGUGAUUGAAGCUGAGUACAUUUUGCUGGUGUAUUUUUAGGUAAAAUGCUUUUUGUUCAUUUCUGGUGGUGGGAGGGGACUGAAGCCUUUAGUCUUUUCCAGAUGCAACCUUAAAAUCAGUGACAAGAAACAUUCCAAACAAGCAACAGUCUUCAAGAAAUUAAACUGGCAAGUGGAAAUGUUUAAACAGUUCAGUGAUCUUUAGUGCAUUGUUUAUGUGUGGGUUUCUCUCUCCCCUCCCUUGGUCUUAAUUCUUACAUGCAGGAACACUCAGCAGACACACGUAUGCGAAGGGCCAGAGAAGCCAGACCCAGUAAGAAAAAAUAGCCUAUUUACUUUAAAUAAACCAAACAUUCCAUUUUAAAUGUGGGGAUUGGGAACCACUAGUUCUUUCAGAUGGUAUUCUUCAGACUAUAGAAGGAGCUUCCAGUUGAAUUCACCAGUGGACAAAAUGAGGAAAACAGGUGAACAAGCUUUUUCUGUAUUUACAUACAAAGUCAGAUCAGUUAUGGGACAAUAGUAUUGAAUAGAUUUCAGCUUUAUGCUGGAGUAACUGGCAUGUGAGCAAACUGUGUUGGCGUGGGGGUGGAGGGGUGAGGUGGGCGCUAAGCCUUUUUUUAAGAUUUUUCAGGUACCCCUCACUAAAGGCACCGAAGGCUUAAAGUAGGACAACCAUGGAGCCUUCCUGUGGCAGGAGAGACAACAAAGCGCUAUUAUCCUAAGGUCAAGAGAAGUGUCAGCCUCACCUGAUUUUUAUUAGUAAUGAGGACUUGCCUCAACUCCCUCUUUCUGGAGUGAAGCAUCCGAAGGAAUGCUUGAAGUACCCCUGGGCUUCUCUUAACAUUUAAGCAAGCUGUUUUUAUAGCAGCUCUUAAUAAUAAAGCCCAAAUCUCAAGC